This 2000-nucleotide ribosomal RNA is filed under the name Eggerthia catenaformis OT 569 = DSM 20559. RNAcentral's name for it is "bacterial LSU rRNA". It matches the Rfam family "Bacterial large subunit ribosomal RNA", at positions 823 to 2841 of the family's 2925-position model. The record is from RNAcentral. Lineage: Bacteria; Bacillati; Bacillota; Erysipelotrichia; Erysipelotrichales; Coprobacillaceae.
GAAAUUCCAAACGAACCCGGAGAUAGCUGGUUCUCCCCGAAAUAGCUUUAGGGCUAGCGUCGCGCGGUGGCUGGGGAAGGUAGAGCACUGAAUAUGCGAUGGCCGCAUCCCGCGGUACUGAGCAUAAUCAAACUCCGAAUGUUCCCAGAGGAGAAGCGCGGCAGUCAGUCUGCGGGUGAUAAGGUCCGUAGACGAGAGGGAAACAGCCCGGACCAGCAGCUAAGGUCCCAAAGUGCAUGCUAAGUGGAAAAGGAAGUGGAGAUGUGCAGACAGCUAGGAGGUUGGCUCAGAAGCAGCCAUCCUUGAAAGAGUGCGUAACAGCUCACUAGUCGAAUGACUCCGCGCCGAUAAUUUACCGGGGCUAAGCAUGACACCGAAGCUCUGGGCAGGAGACUGCGGUAGGGGAGCGUUCCAUGCAGCGGCGAAGGCAGACCGGAAGGGCGGCUGGAGCGCAUGGAAGAGAGAAUGCCGGCGUGAGUAGCGAAAUGUGGGUAAGAAUCCCACACACCGAUUGCCCAAGGAUUCCAGGGGAAGGUUCGUCCACCCUGGGAGAGUCGGGACCUAAGGUGAGGCCGAGAGGCGCAGCCGAUGGAAGACGGGUGGAGAUUCCCGUACCCGUAUGGCGGUGAAGGAGUGACGGAGAAGCAAGGCGGUGCCGGCGGACGGAAGAGCCGGUGUAAGCGAGAGACCCGGAGACCAGGGAAAACCGGUUUCUGAUAAGGGGAAGGCGUGACGCAUACGGAAAGCUGAGGCAAGUACGGAAAGCCGAGGAGCAUCUUCCAGGAAAAGCUUCUAGCAAUAACGACAUACGGCCCGUACCGAAAAUGGACACACAUGGGCAGGGAGAGAAUCCCGAGGUGAGCGAGAGAACUGCAGCCAAGGAACUCUGCAAAAUGACCCCGUAACUUAGGGAGAAGGGGUGCUCGCUGAGAGGCGAGCCGCAGAAAAAUGGCCCAAGCGACUGUUUACCAAAAACACAGCUCUCUGCGAAGGCGCAAGCCGAAGUAUAGGGGGUGACGCCUGCCCGGUGCUGGAAGGUUAAGGGGAGGAGUGAGCGAAAGCGAAGCUCCGAGCCGAAGCCCCAGUAAACGGCGGCCGUAACUAUAACGGUCCUAAGGUAGCGAAAUUCCUUGUCAGGUAAGUUCUGACCCGCACGAAAGGCGUAACGAUUUGGGCGCUGUCUCGGCUGCAGACUCGGUGAAGUCUUAGUGCCUGUGAAGAUGCAGGCUGCCCGCGACUAGACGGAAAGACCCCAUGGAGCUUCACUGCAGGUUGGCAUUGGACCUGGGUGCGUGAUGUACAGGAUAGGCGGGAGGCAGAGAACCCGGCGCGCAAGCGCAGGGGGAGCCGACGUUGGGAUACCGCCCUUGGCGCAUCUAGGCUCUAACCGGACGCCGGAGACGGGCGACGGGACAGUGCCAGCCGGGCAGUUUGACUGGGGCGGUCGCCUCCUAAAGAGUAACGGAGGCGCCCAAAGAUACCCUCAGCAUGGAUGGAAACCAUGCAGCGAGUGCAAAGGCAUAAGGGUGUCUGACUGCGAGACAGACAGGUCGAGCAGGGACGAAAGUCGGGCUUAGUGAUCCGGCGGUGCCGAAUGGAAGGGCCGUCGCUCAACGGAUAAAAGCUACCCUGGGGAUAACAGGCUGAUCUCCCCCAAGAGUUCACAUCGACGGGGAGGUUUGGCACCUCGAUGUCGGCUCAUCGCAUCCUGGAGCUGAAGUCGGUUCCAAGGGUUGGGCUGUUCGCCCAUUAAAGCGGUACGCGAGCUGGGUUCAGAACGUCGUGAGACAGUUCGGUCCCUAUCUGUCGUGGGCGCAGGAGGUCUGAGGAGAGCUGUCCCCAGUACGAGAGGACCGGGGCGGACGGACCGAUGGUGGACCAGUUGUCGCGCCAGCGGCACAGCUGGGUAGCCAAGUCCGGAAGGGAUAAGCGCUGAAGGCAUCUAAGUGCGAAGCCCCCUCCGAGAUGAGACCUCCCACCGAAAGGGUAAGGCCCCUUGA